Molecule: unclassified non-coding RNA, 246 nt
Filed under: uncultured fungus
Lineage: Eukaryota; Fungi
Description: partial contains 5.8S ribosomal RNA, internal transcribed spacer 2, and large subunit ribosomal RNA
Rfam family: 5.8S ribosomal RNA (bases 1-52)
Source: RNAcentral
AACGCACAUUGCGCCCCUCGGUAUUCCGGGGGGCAUGCCUGUUCGAGCGUCAUUACUCUCCUCAAGCGUAGCUUGGUCUUGGGAUCUCGCCCCUGCGGCGUGCCCGAAAAAGAUGGGCGGUCCGGUGUGACUUCAAGCGUAGUAAAUUACCUCCCGCUUUGAAUUUCGCCCCGUGGCUGCCCGACAACCCACGAUAAUCUAUCAAUCAUUGACCUCGGAUCAGGUAGGGAUACCCGCUGAACUUAA